AAAAUUCUCUUGGAUCUUCAUGAAUAAUUCAAAUUCAAGACUAAAAUUUGUACCAACAGUAGCAAAGUCCAAAUAUUCAAUAGCUUUAUUCUCAUUUCUAUCAUCUUUUUGAAAAUGAAAAUUCAUGCACAAAGUGCACUCCCUUACCCAGUCAAAAACCAACACACCAUGACAGAGGAUUCUCAAUUUUUUAGGAGUUUUGAGACAAGUAUUGGAAGAAGCAAAUCAAAAACAAAUAUGAUGGAACAGCAUCUCUAGAUUUCUCCAAAUAUUUCUGGCUUAAUACUAUAGCUACCAGUCUUGAACAAGCCUACACCAAUUUCUGCCUGAAAAAAUAAUAGGGAACAAGCAGGCAUUGAUCAGACCUAACUUCUUGCUGGCAUGAGCAAUAUUAAUUUGGUGACAGAGUAUAUAUGAUUCCCACUAUUAUAGAAGUAUAUUUGAAAAAAGCUGACUCAGAAUUACACAUGAACUUCUUAUAGAAUCAUAGACAAACAACAAAUUUGAUCACCGUAAAAAUUAUUUCACUCAAUAGACCAUGUUGUAAUCCAGAAUCAAGUUCAUAAACAUGUUCAUUACUGUGUACAGGUGCAAUUACUGCUAUAAAUUCUAGUCAUGCAGACAGAAGCAUGAAAUAUUUUCAGCAGAUAUUAGUGACUUUCACUGAGGAAAGCACUAGUACUACUAUUCCCCAAAGGAAACAAACCACACUUCCAAGUUAAAAUAUCCAAUAUAAAUAUAAGUUCUCAUCCUAAGAAUUAAGUAUAAAUACCUAUAAGUUUAUUGCCUGUGAAUCUCAAGAAUGACUUGCCCAGCUGCCAAAAUUAGCUCCAGACCAUCAAGAGACUGAACCUUCUUAAAGCCUCUUCACAAUUUCUUCAUUUACACGAUCAUAGUAAGUCAUUCUCCGAAUACAAGUUAUAGCUUCUUCAAAUUUCUCGCUUUGAAAAGCAUUUGCAAAGGAAUUAGACCAAUGUUGCAAUUUUUCUCUCAUCUGGUAUUGAAUCUCAGUUAAAGCUUUAGAGUCAGGUGCCUCUUCAACCGCUUCCCUGAUUUCCAUAAUCUCCGCUAACAAUUGUGGUUCUGAAAUUGUUUCUUCUUCAUUAACAUUUACUCCUUCAAGCUUUAACUGUGAAAAACACAAGAAUUGAUCUUAUAAUAUUUUCAAAAAGGACCACUCAUAGAAGGAGAUACUUGGGAGGACAAAGAAAAGAAAGGCAGGUAUCAAUGAAUUGCAUAAUCAAUAAAGUUAACCAAGAAAUCCGCAGAAUGAUAGUCUAUGAAACAAAGUGAAGUAAUGCCAAGCGACAUCAAAUGUCAAAACUACCAAGGUCCAGUAGGUCUGAUGCCUUCUGCCAUUUAUCUACAAUAUUAUACACAAAUCCAAUAAUACAAUUAAAAAGUAUAAAUAAAAAAACUUCACACAUCAAUAAGGGUCAAGCAUAAAUCAGGGUAAAAAUCAUCAUUACAACAGCUGGGCUGUGAAACUUAUCGAUCAGGAAUAUUACAAUUUUAGUCCUUCAACACAAAUAAAAAUAAAAAUGUUGUUACACAAGGAUUUUUUUUUUUUUUCAAAACCCUGAAAUCAAAUGAAAGAAAAGGCGCAAAGGCCAAUAAGUUCAGUGUAAAUAUACAAUAUUUGAAUAAAGAAGUAUCCUACUAACAUACUAUCCAAAUGACACCCAACAUCCACACAUAAGGUUAAGAAGAAGAAGCUUUACAAUGUAUAUUGCCCUUAACCGCGGAUUGCGAAGAGUUCUGCACGCAUCAGUCACCCGAGCAGACUGCUCCGCCGCAAAAUCUCUCUCUUUCUGAGAUUUCGAAUGAACUAAAUCAGGAUGCAAUUUUUUCUGCCAGUCUUUGUACUUCCCUUCCAGAUUCUCAUCCUUCAUUUCAUACUUCUUCUCCAGUCCAAAUAUCUGGAAGUAAUCAAUAGACUGAUCAACAGGCUGGAUGGUUCCACACGAUUCACAAGCCAGAAACAGCGACCGUUGAGGCUGAGCAUUGCAGUUCCAGCAACUAGUUUUAGCUUUCACCAAAGAUUCGGAGCAGAAAUUUUUCCCGGAAAAAUUGAGAGAAUUCUGAAGAAUGUGAUUUUCACACGUGCUAAAGAAGAAGCUAUAAGUUCCGACGUUCGAGGAGUAGACUUGUGGAUUGGAACUAGAAGGAAGGAGUAGGAAACGGCCUGGCGUCGACGAGAAGGUCCUGCGUCGAAGAAGCUUCGAGAGAGGCGUCCAUAGCUCCUUUGUUCUCGACAUUUUCUUUCUGGGUUUUUGGAGCGACGGCGGCUUUCCGAGUAUCCUGUAGACUAUGAAACGGUACGCUUUGGAAUCGCACCAAAACUGAACUCAUUCAAUUCAAGACUAAACUCGGGGCUCUUCACGGGUCGGAUUUAGUCGGGUUCUUCCAACCGACCUG
This 2418-nucleotide unclassified non-coding RNA is filed under the name Hevea brasiliensis (rubber tree). The record is from RNAcentral. Lineage: Eukaryota; Viridiplantae; Streptophyta; Magnoliopsida; Malpighiales; Euphorbiaceae.